Long non-coding RNA from Andrographis paniculata, 1663 nucleotides. RefSeq lists it as uncharacterized. The transcript is spliced from 2 exons. Lineage: Eukaryota; Viridiplantae; Streptophyta; Magnoliopsida; Lamiales; Acanthaceae. The record is from RefSeq and is a predicted model, not a curated record.
UCCAUCUGUCGAUCUGUCUCUCCUCUCCUAUCCUCUGCACCAAUUCAUCCAUCCAUCCAUUGAAGACCAAGCACCUUCACCUUCACCCUCACCCUAGUUCUUUCUCUUUCUCCCUUCCAAUAAGCAAUACUCUGAUGCAAUCUCCCCAUCAAUCCUUAUCCAGUGAAGUAGUAAUUAGCUAUCUAUAAAUAUAUGCAAGUACUAUUCACUAUUCUCAAAUUGCAGAGAGGAGGAGGAAGAGGAGCAUGUCUCGUGUUGUUGGCACUGGUAAUGCUAUGUUAAUUUUAAUUUGUAACUAUUUAUAUUAUAAAAUAAUUAUUUUUACUAGUAUAUUUUUAAUUAUCUACUAAUUACUUCCGUUGUGAAAUAAUACCGUAUCUAUACUGCAUUAGUAUUCCUUAAAUUAACUGGAUGCCUUCUUUUCAUAUUUCAUGUUUCUUUUCAUAUUUCAUGUUUUGAUUUUGGUGGUUCUUUCUAUUUGUUUGGAUUUUAAAUAAUAGAAAAUUUUAUAUUUCAGUAUUUGUGAGAUAUAAUAUUUUAAAUAUAAUAUAAAAAAAUAAAAAAUAUAUUUAAUUCAAUAUUAUGUUUAUGACAUUUUCUUACGGAUAAUAAUUUUUUUUAAAAAAAAAAAUAAAGCGAAAUUAUUAGAGCAUUUAGAUACCUACCUCAUCACGGGACAUCAUCAUUUUCAUUUUAAAAAAAUUAUAAAAUUAUACUUUUUGGUUUUUUUUUUUAAUAAUUUGUAUUUAUAUCUUGUAUUGUGUAAAAUUUAUUUUUUAUAAAAGAUAUAUAUUUUCUAUUGAAUUGGAGGGGAAAAAAUUGUUACGUAUGAAAUUUAUAAUUAAUUUAAAAAGCCCAAGUUACAAAGGAAAAAUGGGCAUACAAUUUGAUCUAGGGAUAUUGCGAGAAAAUAAAGUGAAAUAGAUGUAUUUCUAAGGAAAUAGGCAGGUGGGAAGGUCCGCAGGUCGGAUGAUCCGUUGGUCGAAAAAUCCGCAGAUCGGAAGGUCCGCAGGUCGGGUGGUCCAUAAGACGGAAAGUUUGCGGGUCAGACAAUGUGCAAGUCGGAAGGUUUGCAAUUGGACCAACAAGUCGGAUGGUCUGUAAGUCGGGAGGUUUGCUGCUGGACCAACAAGUCGGGUGGUCUGCAAGUCGAGAGGUUUACGGCUGGACCAACAAAUCGGGUGGUCUGCAAGUCGAGAGGUUUACAGCUGGACCAACAAAUCGGGUGGUCUGCAAGUCGAGAGGUUUACGGCUGGACCAAUAAAGUGGAAGGUCUGCGGUCGGUUCAGGAAGUCGGAAGAUUCGUGGGUGGAUAGGCAAACUGGUUGGUGCGGAGGUCGGAUACUGUUGAGAGCGAGUGAGAGUAAUAGUUUGGUCGGCUGGUCACGUGUCAGCCGAAGAAGAGUUAGCAGAAGAAGAGUUAGCAGAUGGUUGAAAAAACGGCGUUGUAAUCGUUCGGGCGACGGUUUCCAGUACCAUUUCUGAAGAGUAUUUAACGAUCGGGACUUGCAACUGACAGGGGAUCUUCAAUCAUCUUCAAACGACAGCAAAGUCAGUGAUUCGGGGAUCAUCAUUUAAAUUUCCAGUAUUUUACUUGUACAAUAUUUAAAGAUAGAUUCUUAAUCUCAUGGGCUAAAUAUAUCAAAUUCGAAUAUUUUUGUUG